Molecule: RNA transcript, 830 nt
Organism: Camellia sinensis
Lineage: Eukaryota; Viridiplantae; Streptophyta; Magnoliopsida; Ericales; Theaceae
Gene name: Cytochrome c oxidase, subunit Vib family protein
Source: RefSeq, a predicted model, not a curated record
UUUUCAAACAAUUCUGAACACCUGAGCGCUCUCUCUCUCUCCAUGGUGAUGGCACUAGAACCCCACGCAUCACAGAACCCUGAUAAAAUUCACACAGACGUCCUCUUAGAAGCAAGACAAGCUUGCUACAAGGCUCGUGAUGCAUUCUAUGCAUGUUUGGAGAUGGAAUCGAACAAGAAACCAACCGAAAUCGCUUCAGUUGGACUACUGUACCCUAUUGAAUGCAAGAAAUCUAGGGAUCAAUUUGUGAAACAAUGUCGACCCACUUGGGUGAAGCAUUUUGAUAGGCAGUACGCUUCGAAGAAGAGGCUUCAAAGGCUUUUGGAUGACAGUGAGUCCAGGAGAGUGUAUUGGGUGACUCUUGCUUUGAUUCUUCCACAAUCUUUGGGUUCUAGCAAAAAGAGUUAUUAUGUGAUUCAGACUGCAGAAUCAGGGGUGUGAAGCUUGGCCCUUGUGGAAGAGAGAAGUGAAAUCUUUUUUUUGGUUAUCCUCAUAACCUAUUGGGUGGUUCUUGCUUUGAAUCUUAUACAAUCUUUGGGGAUUUUAUCUGCAACCAACUACACACAACUGCGGGGAACCAUAGCUGAAAAGCCUUUUGGAGUUGUCUUUGGCUCCCAACUUUUAGUACGUGCUUGAAGCACAGUUGCACGAAGCUUCACUUCUAGCAUUAAAAUUUUGGUUCCUUCCUUUUCUUGACCUUUAAUUUCAAUUUUUCCUUUUAUGUGCAAUAUGUUGGCUCAGGAAGAUUUCCAAUUUUAUCAAAUCUGCAACUACUUUCAUGUUCAUUUUUCUAUUUGAGUGAUGAAAUGCAUGAUUUGCUUACAUUUGCU